UACGUAGGGUGCAAGCGUUGUCCGGAAUUAUUGGGCGUAAAGAGCUCGUAGGCGGUUUGUCGCGUCUGCUGUGAAAACUCAGGGCUUAACCCUGAGCCUGCAGUGGGUACGGGCAGACUAGAGUGUGGUAGGGGAGAUCGGAAUUCCUGGUGUAGCGGUGGAAUGCGCAGAUAUCAGGAGGAACACCUAUUGCGAAGGCAGCUCGCUGGGACGUAACUGACGCUGAGACGCGAAAGCGUGGGGAGCAAACAGG
This 253-nucleotide ribosomal RNA is filed under the name uncultured bacterium. Its description in RNAcentral is "partial 16S ribosomal RNA". It matches the Rfam family "Bacterial small subunit ribosomal RNA", at positions 524 to 776 of the family's 1533-position model. The record is from RNAcentral.